This 225-nucleotide ribosomal RNA is filed under the name uncultured bacterium. RNAcentral describes it as "partial 16S ribosomal RNA". It matches the Rfam family "Bacterial small subunit ribosomal RNA", at positions 524 to 748 of the family's 1533-position model. The record is from RNAcentral.
UACGAAGGGGGCUAGCGUUGCUCGGAAUCACUGGGCGUAAAGGGUGCGUAGGCGGGUCUUUAAGUCAGGGGUGAAAUCCUGGAGCUCAACUCCAGAACUGCCUUUGAUACUGAGGAUCUUGAGUUCGGGAGAGGUGAGUGGAACUGCGAGUGUAGAGGUGAAAUUCGUAGAUAUUCGCAAGAACACCAGUGGCGAAGGCGGCUCACUGGCCCGAUACUGACGCUG